CCUGACUGCUAUCGGAUUGAUACUAAGCCAUGCGAGUCAUUGUAGUAAUACAAGGCAGACGGCUCAGUAACGCGUAGUCAACCUAACCUAUGGACGGGAAUAACCUCGGGAAACUGAGUAUAAUGCCCGAUAGAACAUUAUGCCUGGAAUGGUUUAUGUUCCAAAUGAUUUAUCGCCGUAGGAUGGGACUGCGGCCUAUCAGUUUGUUGGUGAGGUAAUGGCCCACCAAGACUAUUACAGGUACGGGCUCUGAGAGGAGUAGCCCGGAGAUGGGUACUGAGACACGGACCCAGGCCCUAUGGGGCGCAGCAGGCGAGAAAACUUUGCAAUGUGCGAAAGCACGACAAGGUUAAUCCGAGUGGUUUCUGCUAAAGGAACCUUUUGUCGGUCCUAGAAACACCGAUGAAUAAGGGGUGGGCAAGUUCUGGUGUCAGCCGCCGCGGUAAAACCAGCACCUCAAGUGGUCAGGAUGAUUAUUGGGCCUAAAGCAUCCGUAGCCGGCUUUGUUAGUUUUCGGUUAAAUCUGUACGCUUAACGUACAGGCUGCCGGGAAUACUGCAGAGCUAGGGAGUGGGAGAGGUAGACGGUACUCGGUAGGAAGGGGUAAAAUCCUUUGAUCUAUUGAUGACCACCUGUGGCGAAGGCGGUCUACCAGAACACGUCCGACGGUGAGGGAUGAAAGCUGGGGGAGCAAACCGGAUUAGAUACCCGGGUAGUCCCAGCUGUAAACUAUGCAAACUCAGUGAUGCAUUGGCUUGUGGCCAAUGCAGUGCUGCAGGGAAGCCGUUAAGUUUGCCGCCUGGGAAGUACGUACGCAAGUAUGAAACUUAAAGGAAUUGGCGGGGGAGCACCACAAGGGGUGAAGCCUGCGGUUC
Molecule: ribosomal RNA, 875 nt
Filed under: uncultured marine group I thaumarchaeote
Lineage: Archaea; Thermoproteati; Nitrososphaerota
Description: bacterial SSU rRNA
Rfam family: Archaeal small subunit ribosomal RNA
Source: RNAcentral